This is a long non-coding RNA of Microplitis mediator, 1008 nucleotides long. RefSeq lists it as uncharacterized. Lineage: Eukaryota; Metazoa; Arthropoda; Insecta; Hymenoptera; Braconidae. The record is from RefSeq and is a predicted model, not a curated record. The transcript is spliced from 4 exons.
AAAUGUAUACAAGUCUAUAUAAUUAUAUAAAACUUUAUACAAAUUAUAUACAAUUAUAUAUAAUUGCAAUAUAUAGAAUUGUAUACAAUUGGAUCGGGCCAUUUUUUCUAUUCAAUUAUAUGUAGUCUAUAUAUAAUUGUAUAAAAUCUUUUUUCAUCGGGCAGACACAAAAAGCCAUGAAAUUAAAAUAUUUGAUAAGGACGGUAAUUUUAAAUUGAAAUUUGGAAUGUACGGCGUUAAAAACAGUUAUUUUAUAUAUCCAAAAUAUGUGACGGUUUUCUUGAAUAAUUCUCACAACAAAGGAAAUAUUGUUGUCUAUGAUAAUAUCGAUUGGAAUCCUAGAUUGCAAAUUUUUGCAAAUGAUGGAGUUUUUUUGAAGUCUGCAAUUUUUAAAAUUAUGGAUUUCUUGAAAGCCCUUGCUAUGACUAAUAAUGAUCGUAUUGUAGCUCUAGACCAAAAAGCAAACAAAUAUUCGUUAUUCCUGAUAUUUUGGUUAUUUAAGAGAAAAUUGAUUACCAACAGAGAACCAAUCACUAUGGCUAUUGACGGUAAGGAAAUAUUUAUUUCUGAUAAGAAAAAAGUCCGCGUAACAUUUAUUAAUAAUGAAGGCCAGUUUUUGGGUCACAUUGGUUAUAAAAAUCAAAGCUGACCCUCACCAGGAAUUGGUUUUGUCAACGAUACAAUUCUAAUGUUUUACUGAUUCCAACGAAUUUCCAGCUCUAUGAAUUUUCAAAAAAUGGUAGUUGCAGCUUCUAGUAUGAAUUGAGAGAUAUACAAAUACUACAAUCUGGUAGAUUUGAGAUAUCGUCAAAUGGUUCGUUAGUAUUGUUAAAUAAAAUGAAUAAUGAAUUGCUCAUUCUAAAGAUGUAGUCACACAUCAUAUAAGCGUAUAUUAUAUAAUAUACUAUUUAUAUGAUUACAACAAAAAUUCUUAUGUAUUUAAAUCACCAGCCAUUAACGAAAAUCAAUUAAACUUAUAAAUCAAUAAUUUAUAUCCAUGUAUCCUUU